GCUAAAGUAGCUUAAUUGGUAAAGCAACUGAUUUGUAAUCAGUAAAUUAUGAGUUCAAAUCUCACCAUUAGCU
RNAcentral lists this transfer RNA (73 nucleotides) under Plasmodium gonderi. It matches the Rfam family "tRNA". From Rfam's summary of the family: Transfer RNA (tRNA) molecules are approximately 80 nucleotides in length. The record is from Rfam by way of RNAcentral. Lineage: Eukaryota; Apicomplexa; Aconoidasida; Haemosporida; Plasmodiidae.